GCGUUGGUACCUGAACGACACGGGUGGUUGUACCAGGCGUUGGUACCUGAACGACACGGGUGGUUGUACCAGGCGUUGAUACCUGAAUGACACGGGUGGUUUUACCAGGCGUUGGUACCUGAACGAGACGGGUGGUUGUACCAGGCGUUGGUACCUGAACGAUAUGGGUGGUUGUACAAGGCGUUGGUACCUGAACGACACGGGUGGUUGUACAAGGCGUUGGUACCUGAACGACACGGGUGGUUGUACAAGGCGUUGGUACCUGAACGACACGGGUGGUUGUACAAGGCGUUGGUACCUGAACGACACGGGUGGUUGUACCAGGCGUUGGUACCUGAACGACACGGGUGGUUGUACCAGGCGUUGGUACCUGAACGACACGGGUGCUAUGAAAGGCCACGGCGUCUUGUGGGCGUCAACACUACAGCCUGGACAUUGCAUGAAGACUUACAUUUUUUUGUUGUUGCUUUCUUUGUUUGGUGAAGGUGAAAGGACUCUUUCUACUGUUGGCUGUGGAGGACUGCAUUGUUCAAUGUUUUCCACCAUAUCUAUGCCGACUGAAUGCCCCAGCCAAAACCGGUGUUCACGGUGCUACGUUUCAAAGGACAUCCUGUCUUACUGGACAGGGACAGGAUGUGACAUACAAGAAUGACACAGCCCACAGUAAGCCUCAGUGACGCUGAUUGAGCUGUUACAAACAGACUGCAUCAUCAUCCGUACAAACUCGGAUAUUGUCAUCAACAUACUUGAAUUUGAUAAGUCGCAAAAAAAAUUGUCGAAUUCCUAAACAUUCACUUAGCAAUCACCAAAUUUUAUAAUGAUGGUGCAUAAACACCAAUGAAGAAGAUUAAUUCAUAGCCCUUUGCAGCCAUUUACAAACCACCAUGUUAUAACGUUGACUGCCAACCUAAUGAACACCACUGGCUUGACACUAAUGUAGUAACUGAAAAAGUGUUUGAGCUUAAAAACAAGUGGCCUCAGAAGCUUUUCAUUUAACCUAGGGCUAGAAUACCCGCAGUGGAUUUCAGACUGGUUUAAUUUUCCCAACCAACAGCUGAAGACUUCAGUAAUAUCAAUUUCAAAUGUUCGUAAUGAUCCAUGUGUGACUCCUUUUAUUUUUUUAGUUCAAGGCA
This is a long non-coding RNA of Esox lucius (northern pike), 1133 nucleotides long. Lineage: Eukaryota; Metazoa; Chordata; Actinopteri; Esociformes; Esocidae. The record is from Ensembl.